This 858-nucleotide long non-coding RNA is filed under the name Falco tinnunculus (common kestrel). Its description in RNAcentral is "lncRNA (ENSFTIG00000015446.1)". Lineage: Eukaryota; Metazoa; Chordata; Aves; Falconiformes; Falconidae. The record is from RNAcentral.
CAGUGCCGGGGGCGGGGGAGGGGGGCGCGGCGGUGGCCCGCGCGGCGGGCUGUGGGCGGGGCUGAAGGCGGGGCGGCGGCGGGCCCCGCGGCGGGGCGGCGGCGGCGGCGGCGGGUAAACACGGCGGCGGGGCUACGGGGAGCGCGCGCCGCUGGGCCAUGGCGGCUUCUCCCGUGGAGGUGUUCGGGCUGCCGGGCGAGGAGGCUGCUUUCCGAAAGCCCUGCGAGCCUCCCCGGCAGACGGAGCAACGCGUCUGUGGGGCAACUUCCUCGUGACGGAGCUGGAGGGGCGAAGCGGGAUUCUUUUCCCUCCGCUCCCUCCCCCAGCCCUGAAGAAUAAAGUCUUUGUUUCAGGCUUUGUCACAGACAGUAUGCACACCGCUGAAGCGAUGCGUGGAUUAAAAUUGUGCAAAAGUUGCAGGUACAGGAAGACUAAAAGCUGUAUCCAUCUGAAAGCUGGUUGAUGACCUGUGUGAAAUGUCAGUAAUGUUGUCUUUGAGCCAACAGGAUAUUUACCAAGACUGUCUUUGAUCAGCUCUUUUUGUGUCCAGGCAGUGAUGAUCUCUUGUGUCAAAACACAGUUGUUGUGUCCUUAGCAGGAAUUCACUUUCUGAAUAAAUGAUGAAGUAUUAUUCCUGGUCUGUUACCACAGCUCUCUUUCUCAAGUUGUGCUUCACUUCUGGAGAAGUAACUAUAAAGGUCUCAAAUGCUUUUUUUUUUUUUUUUUCUUCUUCAUCUUAAUAUUUGAAUUGCAUAGGAGUUCUAAUAAAAAAUUAGCACAGCAUGCUGCAAGGGUUGCAUAGCACUUCCCAUUGCAAGAUUCUGUUUUCAGUUGAUAGUAACUUCUUGCGGCAAUCUG